UACGUAGGGUGCAAGCGUUAUCCGGAAUUAUUGGGCGUAAAGAGCUCGUAGGCGGUCUGUCGCGUCGGAUGUGAAAAUCCAGGGCUUAACCCUGGACCUGCAUUCGAUACGGGCAGACUAGAGUUCGGUAGGGGAGACUGGAAUUCCUGGUGUAGCGGUGAAAUGCGCAGAUAUCAGGAGGAACACCGGUGGCGAAGGCGGAUCUCUGGGCCGAUACUGACGCUGAGGAGCGAAAGCGUGGGGAGCGAACAGG
This 253-nucleotide ribosomal RNA is filed under the name uncultured bacterium. RNAcentral's name for it is "partial 16S ribosomal RNA". It matches the Rfam family "Bacterial small subunit ribosomal RNA", at positions 524 to 776 of the family's 1533-position model. The record is from RNAcentral.